GUCCAGACUCCUACGGGAGGCAGCAGUGGGGAAUAUUGCACAAUGGGGGAAACCCUGAUGCAGCAACGCCGCGUGAGUGAAGAAGUAUUUCGGUAUGUAAAGCUCUAUCAGCAGGGAAGAAGAUGACGGUACCUGAUUAAGAAGCCCCGGCUAACUACGUGCCAGCAGCCGCGGUAAUACGUAGGGGGCAAGCGUUAUCCGGAUUUACUGGGUGUAAAGGGAGCGCAGACGGCAGUGCAAGUCCGGAGUGAAAGCCCGGGGCUCAACCCUGGGACUGCUCUGGAAACUGUAAAGCUGGAGUGCGGGAGGGGCAGGCGGAAUUCCUGGUGUAGCGGUGAAAUGCGUAGAUAUCAGGAGGAACACCGGCGGCGAAGGCGGCCUGCUGGACCGUAACUGACGUUGAGGCUCGAAAGCGUGGGGAGCAAACAGGAUUAGAUACCCCAGUAC
RNAcentral lists this ribosomal RNA (447 nucleotides) under uncultured bacterium. Its description in RNAcentral is "bacterial SSU rRNA". It matches the Rfam family "Bacterial small subunit ribosomal RNA", at positions 329 to 793 of the family's 1533-position model. The record is from RNAcentral.